ACAGAGAGGAGAUCGGGGAGCGAUGUCUACAAAUUUUCUGCUCAAACUCACCACCAGUGGCCGCCUCACCUCUCUCUCACCCAAAUCCUAAACCUCUCCUAUUCUCUCCUCCAAAGAAAACCCCAACCUCUCCUCUUCUCUCACCCUCAAUCUCUCCCUCUCCUCUCCUCUGUGAAUCACACUCUCUUCACCCACCACAAAACCAACAGCCCCAAAUUCCCGCAUUCGAGCUCUCAGCUGCUCUCCUCUCACCAAAGAGGAGAAAGCCCAAGGAGGAGGAGACGGAGCCCUUCCUGCUUCUGGGUCUAAAUUUGUUAAGGAUGAUGAGUACCCAAGUGGGGAAUUUGAGAAUGAUCAAGUUUAGUAGCUGGGAACGUUUCCUUGUCGAUCUCCGGAUGAUGUUUGCGGCUCCCAUGGGAGCGAGUUGAGGAGGGAAGCGUCCUGACCAUAUGGGUAUUAUAGGAAAGAUAUAUGGUCGGCUGGAGUGCGGACAAAUUUUUGAACUAGACCUAUUCCCCCAAAGAAUAAUCAAAAUAGACGUAGUCCCAUAAUAUUUAUCAAAGUAGACCUAGUUUCUGCCAUGUUGGCUGAAACUAGGUCGAUUUUGGUAAGUAUUUAGGGAACUAGGUAGAUUUUGGAAAAAAAAAUUCGUAUACUCUACGGGAUUGGGAAUGCCGGGGAUAAUUUGAUAAAUUUUUUGCAAGUAGGUCGAAAUUGAUAAUUUUAUCUUUGAAAUGGUCUAUUUCAAAAAAAAUUCCGCUUGAGUGAAGCUGUAGUUAUGAGUUGUCUCUACCUCGAAUUUGUCAGAAUUUUAUGGAAACAGUGUAUGAUCGACGUGUUUCUAGUAUAUAUAUCUUCAUGUAGAGAAGCUGGUCUGCGGUUGGGGACUAAUUGAAGAGAUAUGAAGACACUUUCUUGAUUUCAAGAAGUCAGAAUGUGGAGAGUGGUCAGACGCCUUUCUGCCUCUAAACCUGUGAUUGCAUCCAUGUAUGAUGCUGCUGCAAGUGGAGGAUACUACAUGGCCAUGGCAGCACAAACUAUUGUUGCUGAGAAGCUGACAUUGACUGGUUCGAUUGGAGUAGUUACAGGGAAAUUCAAUCUAGGUAAGCUGUAUGAAAGGAUCGGGUUUAACAAGGAGAUUAUAUCAAGAGGCAGAUAUACUGAGUUUCUCUCUGCUAGUCAGCGUUCAUUUAGGCCCCACGAAGCAGACCUGAGAAAUAUGCACAAAAUGCAUACAAAAAAUUCCGAGACAAAGCGGCGUAUUCAAGAUCCAUGACUAUAGAUCAAAUGGAGGAGGUUGCUCAAGGAAAGUUGUGGAGUGGCAAUGAUGCAGUUUCCAAUGGUCUAGUUGAUGCUAUUGCUGGACUUUCUCGAGCCGUGGCCAUUGCAAAGCAAAAAAGCUAAUAUAUCACAACCACCGUCCUGAUGCAUAAAAACUAGACUCCAGGAGCUUCAGCUGGGGAAAAUUUUUGAACAGCCAAAAUGAUGCAAGACAAAACGGAAGAUUAUUCACGCAAUUGGGAUUAGUCACUUAGGAUUCUAUUUUCAAGGACUCGUACUUUUUUUUAAACUUUUAGUUAGUAUAACUCGGAUUUAUUGUUUGGUUGUAUUCGUUAUUUAUUUAAUUUUAUUUAUUUGCAGUUCUAGAGAUAAGGUUGUACUUUCCAAUUUUUGGAGAGGAGAGAUGGAUGAUAAAAACUCAAGUAAUGUCACGUGCAUUGCAGCAAGUUUGACAUGUGAGUUGUUCGGGCAUGAGACCAAUAUUUGUUAAUGAUGAGUGCAAUUUCAACAUUUAUAUCCUUCGUUCUACUUUUUAUCUUCCUAAAUCGAAAUAAUGUCCCACAGCAGAUCUAUAUGCAUCUGAUCCCUAUCCCAGAGCACAACCUCUUUCAUUAUGUAAACCUACCAAUGUUACAAUUUACUCAUUGAAAUCAUGAUUUGUAUAAAUUUCUAUUGACAAAAAUCUAAGGCAAUAAUAUGGAAAGUUAUCCUUUCUCUAAAGAUAUCAAUUCCCAUUUUGGGAAGAACUUUU
RNA transcript from Asparagus officinalis (garden asparagus), 2032 nucleotides. It is a transcript of the gene named serine protease SPPA, chloroplastic-like, with no coding region annotated. Lineage: Eukaryota; Viridiplantae; Streptophyta; Magnoliopsida; Asparagales; Asparagaceae. The record is from RefSeq and is a predicted model, not a curated record. The transcript has 7 exons.